Molecule: ribosomal RNA, 260 nt
Filed under: uncultured bacterium
Lineage: Bacteria
Description: partial 16S ribosomal RNA
Rfam family: Bacterial small subunit ribosomal RNA
Source: RNAcentral
UACGUAGGGGGCAAGCGUUGUCCGGAAUCAUUGGGCGUAAAGCGCGUGUAGGCGGCCUUGUAAGUCCGUUCUGAAAGCCCGGGGCUCAACCCCCGGGAGGCGGAUGGAUACUGCAAGGCUCGAGUACGGAAGAGGCGAGUGGAAUUCCUGGUGUAGCGGUGAAAUGCGCAGAUAAUCAGGAAGAACACCGGUGGCGGAAGGCGGCCCUGCGUGGGCAGUUUUGCUGACACUGAGGCGCGACAGCGUGGGGAGCAAACAGG